RNAcentral lists this ribosomal RNA (253 nucleotides) under uncultured bacterium. Its description in RNAcentral is "partial 16S ribosomal RNA". It matches the Rfam family "Bacterial small subunit ribosomal RNA", at positions 524 to 776 of the family's 1533-position model. The record is from RNAcentral.
GACAGAGGCCCCAAGCGUUAGGCGGAAUCACUGGGCUUAAAGCGUGUGUAGGCGGACUUCUAAGUGCCUUGUGAAAUCCCACGGCUCACCCGUGGAACUGCUCGGUAUACUGGGUGUCUUGAGCCACUUAGGGGCUACCGGAACAAAUGGUGGAGCGGUGAAAUGCGUAGAUAUCAUUUGGAACGCCAAUGGUGAAAACAGGUAGCUGGGAGUGUGCUGACGCUGAGACACGAAAGCCAGGGGAGCGAACGGG